Esox lucius (northern pike) is the source of this 823-nucleotide long non-coding RNA. NCBI's taxonomy places the organism in Eukaryota, Metazoa, Chordata, Actinopteri, Esociformes, Esocidae. The record is from Ensembl.
CUUACAUUUACCCAGUAAUGACGGGAAGUAUGGUGGAGGUGCUUACAUUUACGGUGUAAUGACAGGAAGUAUGGUGGAGGUGCUUGCAUUUACAGCGUAAUGACAGGAAGUAUGGUGGAGGUGCUUGCAUUUACAGCGUAAUGACAGGAAGUAUGGUGGAGGUGCUUGCAUUUACAGCGUAAUGACAGGAAGUAUGGUGGAGGUGCUUACAUUUACGGUGUAAUGACAGGAAGUAUGGUGGAGGUGCUUACAUUUACGCUGUAAUGACGGGAAGUAUGGUGGAGGUGCUUGCAUUUACAGUGUAAUGACAGGAAGUAUGGUGGAGGUGCUUCAAUUUAAGGUGUAAUGACAGGAAGUAUGGUGGAGGUGGUUACAUUUGUGGUGUAAUGACAGGGGCAAAAUACAUUUGGGUCCUUUGCCAGGCAAGUUUGUAACAGUUCCAGUUGCUCUGAACUUGUUUAGUAUUGCCCUAACGGUAGAUACAGGCAUUUUCAGAUUAGUAGCUAUUUUUUAUAGCCAUUCCCUGACUUAUGAAGCUCAACACACUUUUCCUUCAUUUCAUUUGUGUGUUCUCUUAUCUUUCCCAUGUUGAUGUAUGAAUAAUGGAAUAUGGCCUCUGUGUCACCUCAUAUUUAUACCCCUGUGAAACAGGAAGUCAUGGAUGAUUACUUGACAGUUCCUCAACACUCUAAUCAACUUAACGUACAAUUUGUUACAUUUUGUUCAUUAGUAAAUAAUUGUGGCACACAUGCUUUUGUUAGAAAUAAUUAUUUCUUGGCGACAGGUUUUCUCCUCUGUAUAAAUGUACUUCCAUUAAAGGUUG